GCCCCAGUGACCUAAUGGAUAAGGCACUCGCCUCCUAAGCCAGGGAUUGUGGGUUCGAGUCCCGUCUGGGGUG
This 73-nucleotide transfer RNA is filed under the name Astyanax mexicanus (Mexican tetra). It matches the Rfam family "tRNA". From Rfam's summary of the family: Transfer RNA (tRNA) molecules are approximately 80 nucleotides in length. The record is from Rfam by way of RNAcentral. Lineage: Eukaryota; Metazoa; Chordata; Actinopteri; Characiformes; Acestrorhamphidae.